RNAcentral lists this long non-coding RNA (546 nucleotides) under Mustela putorius furo (domestic ferret). RNAcentral describes it as "lncRNA (ENSMPUG00000030372.1)". Lineage: Eukaryota; Metazoa; Chordata; Mammalia; Carnivora; Mustelidae. The record is from RNAcentral.
UUUACACCUCCUUACCCCCAGUGUAAAGCCUGAGAAUCUUGGGGUUGGUGUCUGGAAUCUGGACAUCUGUGUCUUAAUGAAGUUCUCCAAGAGACCAUUAUGUCUAUGAAAGUUAGGGAACCACUAGUUAGUUCCACAGGAACUUCCAGCAUCAAAGCUCAGUAUCAGUCGUUCCAGAAAGGGUGUUCCUUAUUGAAGGGGAACCCAGAUGUUUGCUGAAUUUGCAGUUUCUAUCUAUCUUCAUGUUUUUACUUUUGUUUUUGUUUUUUUAAAGGAACUUCUGAUUAUUCUCAGAAGGCCUGAGAGUUCUCUUCCGGCCGAUUCAUUCUCCACAAGGCAGCCAUGUUUGCCUGUUUUACUGCCUACCCCACCUUUAGGAGGGGCCCUGUGGCCGUCCCCAGUCAAGGCAAUCCCAGUGUUCAAGGAAACCAGUAGAAGAGGGAGACUGUUCUUGGUUCUUUGAUGUGAUCUGGGUAUAUGCCUGUAGAUCGAGAUCGAGGGCUUUUCUGAAUUGUAAGUGCUCCAUUCUAUUUUACACACUUUGAA